Solanum tuberosum (potato) is the source of this 3814-nucleotide long non-coding RNA. RefSeq lists it as uncharacterized. The record is from RefSeq and is a predicted model, not a curated record. The transcript is spliced from 3 exons. NCBI's taxonomy places the organism in Eukaryota, Viridiplantae, Streptophyta, Magnoliopsida, Solanales, Solanaceae.
GUUCUUUCACCAAUCUAUCAUCUUUUCAGUCAUUUUCUACCUUUCUAUUUUUUAUUCUCAUUCUCUCUCUUGAUGGAGAAGUCGAAAAAGUGACUUAGAAAUGGAGGUAUUACAUUUUCGGAGAGGAACAUCAAAUUGAUGGAAAUAUAGUGAAGAGUGAUUUCAGUCCCCGGUUGGAACAUUAAUUUGGUGAUGAAAUUUCACAUUUGACUAUCGAAAUGGGAGGUAAUCUUUCAGUCCAAGUAAAUUUUUGUGUUUUCCUUUCAGUUUUUGGGUUUGAUUAUUUUUCCCGAGAUAUUGAAUUCUUAUUUAUCAAAGUCAAAAUUAUCUUUUAUUUUUAUGUUUUUUGAUUUGGGAAUUGGAGAAACUUUACAGGAAGCCCGUCAUUAUGAAAUGGAUGCAAUAAGGAAGAAAGAGAAUUAAGUAAAACUCACUAGAAAUCUUGUGAGCAUUUGGCUUUAACUGAUUUUGCACAUGCAUGUACUCAUUCACUAUUUUGUCUCAAUUUCUUAGGUGUAGAAUGUAUUAGAAGAAUUCAGUGAGAAUAUAGAAAGGCUCUGUGAGAAAAAUUCUCAAAGGUUAGUACUAUAUAUAUCCAAUAGUCAUUUUUUGGAGAUUAUCUCCCCUUUUUUCUCCGCAAUUUUGUCCUGUUGAUAAGUUGGAGAUUUGAUUGGUUCCACAUACUUCUGAACAAUCUGCUUCUGUAAAGUUCAACUUUUUUGCUAAGCAACAUAUUUGUGUUCUUUCAAAUUCACAAAUAUUGAUUAUUUAUGAAGUGAAGUGAAAUUAUUUAUCAUAUAGGACUCGACAACGUGAACAAGAUAUCACCUUCAGGUCAUUUAGGUUGGGCCUGUAUUGACUAAUUUGGUUGAAGGUUGAGUAUUUGUGGUCUCUCUCUAUAAUGUUUAUACUCAUGGCUCGUGGGGUGGUUGUACACUCUUGUCAUCACUUACCCAAUUAUAUAUUUAUCAUAUGUAGUCUAGCUGGAACAUGUCUUCACUUAUACAACUAUGUAUUUAUUGUACGUAGCCUGUCUGGAACAAAAUGAUCAAUAUUGUUUGAAGGUAUAUGAGCUUAUUUUUUUCGUACAUGUACAUAAAAAUGUCAUGCUCUAUCCAUAUAGUUAAAUUACUUUAGUUGUAUUGUUAAGGUGAAAAAGACGACACCGAAUUCAACUAUGUUGGGCUGCUAAGAUUUUUUUGGAUUGGGGGGGAGGGGGAGGGAAUGCUUGUUGUGCUACUUAAGCGUUUUUCUCUUUUUAUGUGUUGGGGUGGUGCUUUUUGUUGUUGUUAUGCUGUUGUGUUUGUUCAGAGUCUUUAGAUUAAGAGCUAGGAUGAUUAAAGGUGACAUUUUAGGAUGUGUAAGUGUUUAGUUGAGGUGCUUCUUAGAGUUCAUGUAUUUAUUCAAUUUGUAUAGUAAAAUUGGUUAGAUGAACCUGAUAAGGGUGGUAAUCCUCAAAAGUUAUCUUUUUUUUCUUCUUUAUCAUUUCUUGUUGUUAUAUCCAUGUUUCAUCAGGUGACAUGAAGUUUGGGAAUGUCCUUUGUUCCAAUCUGGACCUUUUAUGCUACUUUGAGCUGUUUUUUUUUCUCUCUUUCUUUCCUUUUAUUGUGGUGUUGGUGUUGUUUUAUUGUUAUUUUGAGCUUGCUUGAUCAGAUUUCUCUUCAAGUGUUGUAGCAAUUGCAUCACAAGUUUGAUGAAAUUUUUCAAAAAUGAUUGAAUCUGCCACUUUUCUUUAUUUGUUUCUAGAGUGAAGGCUGAAAAAAUUACCUGAACUGAAGGAGAAGUGAGUUUCUUAUCUGAAAUAUCACUAUAUGUUCACAUAGGAGAAGUAAACUAUUGAUGGUUGACUUGUGUUUUGACAAAUAGUUGGUGAUAGUUCAUAGUUCAGUGAUGAAAUUCAAAUACCGAAUACUUAAGGUGUGAUUUUUGCCAUUGACUCUUUGUUUCUCAUUUCUUGCACAAUGGUUGUUUGGUUAUUUCCUAUUAAUGAAAUAAUAAUGUAUAUGAACUUGCAUGACCUUUAUUGUGAAUUAUAAUCUUCCAAACUACUUAUUUUGGCUUCUCCGGGAGGUGAUGGACAGAUGCGAAAAAGAAAAGUUAGUGUAUGACUCAUGUUGGAUGGCAAUGUCAAUAUUACAGAUGGUUGCAAAACACUUUCAAUGUCAUGCAUUUAUAUUUAUUUUUUACAAUUAUAUAUCAAGUAAAGAACAUAUUUUGCCAAGUUCUUUUUGGCAGUUUUUUGGCAGAGUCCAUAGAAACAUGCCUUUGAUUUAGAUUGUGUCACGAGUCGUUCUCUCUACUAACUGUCAGAAUAAUCCGAAAGUCAAUCAUUCCCAGCUUUGAUAUGAAGGUAUGGGGGAGAUCAAAAGGGAGUAUGUUAGUCAAAUAGAGGGCUCUCAGGUGCAUAUCCUGUUUCUCCAUUUGUACGAGUACAUUAUUUUUUGUAGAACAAUAAUAACAAUCAAUACCAUAGAUUCAUAACUAUAAAUUGCUUAUUGCAAAUAUAGCAAUAACAGAAAAGGCAAGAUUCUUACCUCCUCCUUGCCAACUUCUACAUACAUCUCCCUACAUGAUUCAUAUAAUUGUAGCCAAGGUAAGAAACAACUGUACAAGAUAACUUGACAAUACUCUUAUUGUUAUAAACUCUAUCCCUCCCCCUAUUACAAGUUCGAUAACACUACAAGCAAGAGCAAAAUUGUAUGAUCAUUUGAAGAAAAUAAAAGAUGUAGCUUUUAAACUCUGCAUAAAGGAUUUGUUUUUCUCAUUCCAAUGCUUCAAUGACAAUUUUCUUACUAGGAGCACUGAGCACAAAUUAUUGUAUCAUUGAACACACUAAAUCACCAUUUAAAGAAAUAAUAGUAAUGAGAAGCUUAGAUGAAUUGUCAAUUUUCUAUUCUUUGACAAGUCUAAUAAUUCAAGUAUUUAAGAAUUUUAAUUAGUUUAUCCUCUCUUAAAAUUUUAUUGAGGACUCUUUUAGCAAAGAGAAGUCUCAUCGACAUCGGACCUUAUUUAAUAAUUCUAUUCGAGUAUUAAAAUGAAGAUAUUUUUUUAGAUGUUAAUGGAACUCUUUAACAUCCUUGCAGACUAAUUAAAGAAAGAAAGAGGCAAGGUAUUAAGAAUGUAUUCAGUGCUACUUCAAUCAAACAUCUUAAGAUAUCCAGCCAUUUUUCGAGGAGUUUACUUUAACUAUUGUCAUGUCAUGGGAGAUGAAAACUCACCAAAUCUUUUUAGUUCGUCUUGACUUUGUAUUUGUUUAUAUUAUGCACACUCUAUAGAGUUUCACAUUCUCAUGGAUUUGACUCCUUUGUGAUUCAAAUACAUCUGGUAUACUCACUAAUUAGUACUGUUGGAUCCUUGCUCACCUAUAGUUAUAUUGUUGAGUGAGGCAAGUAACUGAGAAAAACAAUUAAAUUCCAAAAACAGAACAAGAAGGAGCCAACCCAUGAAAAAGGGAAAAACAUUCAAGUUCCAGAAACAGAACAAGGAGGAGGCCAAAUCAUGAAAAAUGAUUGAUUUCAAAUUCUCUAAUUUUCAAGACUUAAGGGAACAACAAAUAGUAAUGUCUGGGCACAGAAGAGUUAGAUAUGUACAAAAAGUUGAAAAGUUGAUGUUCUCCAUAGUACAUUGGAUAGUCCAGAUGUUGACACAUUAUUAGUAAUGUCUGUAAAUGCAGAAUGUUUCUAACAACUUCGAGCAUUCUCCCUUUCUUACUUUUUGAUUAUUUCGUUUGGGUGCAAAUUUGAGUCAAUAUUUUAUGUAGUCUACCUUAUCAAUGAUUUUGCAGAUGCUUGAGUGAAUACAUUUUAUUUCCAUA